AACAGUGUCACGUAUCUGGCUUCCACAUGGGUCUCCCCAGAACUCCAAGCUUAAUUUGGCUGCUCUGGCCAGGCCGGUGUCUGUUUUCUGUCUCACUGGCCACGCAUCUCCUUUCUGCAUCUGUAACUUUGUCAAAGAGGUUGUUCUUCCCAAAGACUGGGGGACUCCUUUUCUGCAAGCUAUGUUUCAGUAACUAAGCUUCCCUGAAGGAACCUCCAAACAUGCUCUCAGUCACUAUUUGUGGGAGAACAUGGAGAGGAUUGCCAGAGAGAAGAAAGCCUUCAGUGUUCCUAGGGUUACAUAGAGCACAUGAUAAUAACU
Felis catus (domestic cat) is the source of this 321-nucleotide non-coding RNA. The record is from Rfam. Lineage: Eukaryota; Metazoa; Chordata; Mammalia; Carnivora; Felidae.